AUGGCUCUAGAGUUGCUGCGCUCUUUCCUCCUCUGCCUCGCCGUGCUCGCCGGCAGAGCCGCCUCCGCUUCUCUGCACUCGCAGUGCCUGGACAACCCGCCGGACCUGACCGCCGCCGGAGCCGAGGCGGGAAAGGUCGUCGAUGACCUGGCCGGCUUCAGGGCGUACGUCACCGGCCCCGUCCACUCCGACCGGGCCAUCGUCCUGGCCUCCGACAUCUUCGGAUUCGAAGCGCCGUUGCUGAGGCAGGCAGCCGACAAAGUUGCUGAAGCUGGAUACUAUGUUGUGGUGCCUGAUUUCUUCAAUGGGAAACCUUACAUGGGUGACCCAAGUGUAAACAUCACACAGUGGAUAGAUGACCACUCUCCGGUAAAAGCCGCUCGAGAUGCUAAACCAAUUUUUGCGACCUUGAAAAAAGAGCAAAAAUCAAUUAUUGGAGUUGGGGGAUACUGUUGGGGUGGAAAGUUUGCAGUGGAGAUAGCGAAAAUGGAGGAGGUGAAGGCAAUCGUCGUCUCCCAUCCUUCAUCCAUCAUUGUUGACGAUAUGAGAGAGGUCAAGUGCCCCAUUGAGAUCCUUGGAGCUCAAAAUGACACAACUACACCACAGAAGUUCAUAUAUCAGUUUUUGCAGGCCCUUCGUAAAAGAAGUGAUAAGGUACCUUACUUCGGCAAGAUCUUUCCAGGAGUUGCACAUGGUUUUGCUUGUAGAUACAAUAGCACCGACCCAUUUGCAGUUAGAACAGCUGAACAAGCUCUUGCCUUAAUGCUCGACUGGUUCAAGAAAUACCUGGAAUGA
Molecule: ribosomal RNA, 795 nt
Filed under: Triticum aestivum (bread wheat)
Lineage: Eukaryota; Viridiplantae; Streptophyta; Magnoliopsida; Poales; Poaceae
Description: partial small subunit ribosomal RNA
Source: RNAcentral